AUGCCACUCUCCACGAUAGACCUCUCCAUAAGAUCCAAGUCCAAUACGCUCGCCCAAGGCAAUAUCCUCCCACGGAAUCUCACAGUCUGCUACAUCAUCAAGUGUCACAUCCGAUUUAGUACUAUCAUUACUAGUUGACUUAUCUGACAUCCUUUCGCCCUCUGAAUUUGCUCCUGCUGCCUCAUGCUCUUGAUGACCACAUCCCUGUUGCUCAUAAACAGCAGUAUCUGCAUCUCCAUCAGCUCUUUCACAGUCUCCUUGUGCCUCAUAUUGCUUACUGACUGCUGCAGUUGUUGCUACUACUGCUGCAGCUGUGGCUGUGGCAGCAGCUGCUACGGGAAGGUCCCCG
Molecule: unclassified non-coding RNA, 349 nt
Filed under: Hevea brasiliensis (rubber tree)
Lineage: Eukaryota; Viridiplantae; Streptophyta; Magnoliopsida; Malpighiales; Euphorbiaceae
Source: RNAcentral